GUUGACUGCUAGACUACGAAGUAGAAGACCAGUCUGUUCUGUGGCUUACAUGUAUCUACUUUGGAAGUGUGUGUAAAUAUGAAUGAUGGGUGCUUGGUCUGUUUUCCCCCUUCCCCCCUCCUGUCUUCCAUCCAGCUUCCACUCACCUGGUCCUAAUCAACAAUCAGCACACCUGCUCAGCAAUCAAGCCAGCUCCAGUAUGUAAGCCUGCCGCAACAGCCAGUCUCUGCCGGAUUGUUGCCAUACAGGGGGAAUCUGAGAGCCUGUUCUCCUCCUGUUCCACUCCUCCAGCCUGCCUACCCGCUCCUCCCUGGACUCCCUUUUUCCCCUCUCUACAACUUACCUCAGCCUACCUUUUGUUGAAUAAAACCACUUACCAUCCCAC
This is a long non-coding RNA of Eleginops maclovinus (Patagonian blennie), 385 nucleotides long. RefSeq lists it as uncharacterized. The transcript is spliced from 3 exons. The record is from RefSeq and is a predicted model, not a curated record. Lineage: Eukaryota; Metazoa; Chordata; Actinopteri; Perciformes; Eleginopidae.